Molecule: ribosomal RNA, 468 nt
Filed under: uncultured bacterium
Lineage: Bacteria
Description: partial 16S ribosomal RNA
Rfam family: Bacterial small subunit ribosomal RNA
Source: RNAcentral
GACGAACGCUGGCGGCGUGCUUAACACAUGCAAGUCGAACGGAAAGGCCCUGCUUUUGUGGGGUGCUCGAGUGGCGAACGGGUGAGUAACACGUGAGUAACCUGCCCUUGACUUUGGGAUAACUUCAGGAAACUGGGGCUAAUACCGGAUAGGAGCUCCUGCUGCAUGGUGGGGGUUGGAAAGUUUCGGCGGUUGGGGAUGGACUCGCGGCUUAUCAGCUUGUUGGUGGGGUAGUGGCUUACCAAGGCUUUGACGGGUAGCCGGCCUGAGAGGGUGACCGGCCACAUUGGGACUGAGAGACGGCCCAGACUCCUACGGGAGGCAGCAGUGGGGAAUAUGGCACAAUGGGCGGAAGCCUGAUGCAGAAACGCCGCGGGCGGGAUGACGGCCUUCGGGUUGUAAACCGCUUUCGCCUGUGACGAAGCGGGAGUGACGGUAAUGGGUAAAGAAGCACCGGCUAACUACGUG